AGUCUUAGAAUGGAAAAAGUAAAGAAAUAUCAACUUCCAAGUUGGCAAGUAACUCCCAAUGAUUUAGUUUUUUUCCCCCCAGUUUGAAUUGGGAAGCUGGGGGAAGUUAAAUAUGAGCCACUGGGUGUACCAGUGCAUUAAUUUGGGCAAGGAAAGUGUCAUAAUUUGAUACUGUAUCUGUUUUCCUUCAAAGUAUAGAGCUUUUGGGGAAGGAAAGUAUUGAACUGGGGGUUGGUCUGGCCUACUGGGCUGACAUUAACUACAAUUAUGGGAAAUGCAAAAGUUGUUUGGAUAUGGUAGUGUGUGGUUCUCUUUUGGAAUUUUUUUCAGGUGAUUUAAUAAUAAUUUAAAACUACUAUAGAAACUGCAGAGCAAAGGAAGUGGCUUAAUGAUCCUGAAGGGAUUUCUUCUGAUGGUAGCUUUUGUAUUAUCAAGUAAGAUUCUAUUUUCAGUUGUGUGUAAGCAAGUUUUUUUUUAGUGUAGGAGAAAUACUUUUCCAUUGUUUAACUGCAAAACAAGAUGUUAAGACUUUUUUCAGAUAACAUCUUCUGAGUCAUAACCAGCCUGGCAGUAUGAUGGCCUAGAUGCAGAGAAAACAGCUCCUUGGUGAAUUGAUAAGUAAAGGCAGAAAAGAUUAUAUGUCAUACCUCCAUUGGGGAAUAAGCAUAACCCUGAGAUUCUUACUACUGAUGAGAACAUUAUCUGCAUAUGCCAAAAAAUUUUAAGCAAAUGAAAGCUACCAAUUUAAAGUUACGGAAUCUACCAUUUUAAAGUUAAUUGCUUGUCAAGCUAUAACCACAAAAAUAAUGAAUUGAUGAGAAAUACAAUGAAGAGGCAAUGUCCAUCUCAAAAUACUGCUUUUACAAAAGCAGAAUAAAAGCGAAAAGAAAUGAAAAUGUUACACUACAUUAAUCCUGGAAUAAAAGAAGCCGAAAUAAAUGAGAGAUGAGUUGGGAUCAAGUGGAUUGAGGAGGCUGUGCUGUGUGCCAAUGUUUCGUUUGCCUCAGACAGAAACUUUGUCUGCGAACACUCUUUAAUGGACCAGAUCAGGAUUUGAGCGGAAGAACGAAUGUAACUUUAAGGCAGGAAAGACAAAUUUUAUUCUUCAUAAAGUGAUGAGCAUAUAAUAAUUCCAGGCACAUGGCAAUAGAGGCCCUCUAAAUAAGGAAUAAAUAACCUCUUAGACAGGUGGGAGGUAACAGCACAAUAUCUUUGAACUAUAUACAUCCUUGAUGUAUAAUUUGUCAGGAGCUUGACUUGAUUGUAUAUUCAUAUUUACACGAGAACCUAAUAUAACUGCCUUGUCUUUUUCAGGUAAUAGCCUGCAGCUGGUGUUUUGAGAAGCCCUACUGCUGAAAACUUAACAAUUUUGUGUAAUAAAAAUGGAGAAGCUC
RNAcentral lists this long non-coding RNA (1394 nucleotides) under Homo sapiens (human). Its description in RNAcentral is "LHRI_LNC1843.14". The stretch from base 805 to 899 matches the Rfam family "Metastasis associated lung adenocarcinoma transcript 1". Lineage: Eukaryota; Metazoa; Chordata; Mammalia; Primates; Hominidae. The record is from RNAcentral.